CCACCCCACACACGCACCCCCAAGAAAACCACCCCGCCCGCAGUCCUCCCGUCGCCGCCGCCGUCCUCUCGAUCCCAUCGAUCCCAUCUAUCAUUGCCGCCGUCGAGGGGGAGCCGCCGCCGCCGCCUCUGCAAGGCAGCGCGGUUUGAAUCCCGCAACCGCCGAACUCUGGGAGAUGCCGUCGCCGCCUCUCCAGGGCAGGGCGGUUUCAGUCCCUGCCGCCGAACUCCGGAAGACGCCGCCGCCACCGAACUCCAUGACCCAUGGCUGCCACACAUCUUCCUCCACGCACGGCCGCACCCCCACCCCUUUUUCUUCCCUCCCUCCGGCCUUCAUCUCUACCCGUCCCACUCCUCGGCCUUCAAUGGUGAUCCGCUGCCUCCCGCUCCUCGUGCUCCGAUCUGACAACUGAUCCACCGCCGCGCCUCGGAUACGUCGCGACGCCUCGGAUACCGGCGACCGGCGGUGAUCUGAGACCAACGAGUCGGCACCACAUCCCUGAUCUUCAGAACACCGAGCGAAAUAUUGGCUUGGAACGAUCUUGGGUUGGCAGGGCGGCCAGACCAGGUGGAAAAUGUGGUGCACGAGUCAACCUCACAUCAUACUGUGGUGUCUAGGAUGGGCGUGGUGUAACAUGACGCUUUCUAGAAGCAUGUUAUCGAACAUCUCCACAGAAUCCCGAGCUUGCCUAAUUCCAAAAGCAUGUUAUCAUAAGGAUGAGUAUGGAGGACAACUCUCUCAAUUCCCAAAGCACUAAUCUUGUCCUAAUUGCUCAUAUAUUGAAUCACUUUUCGCUGCAAAUAUGUUUUCUGUUUGAUGAGCUAGAAGAUGCUUGGAGGCUAAGUACAAAGAGGAUCUAACGUUCACGUUUUUGGGAGGCAAUAACUACUUUGUGCACUUUGGCUGUGGAUAUGGGUACACAUUCUUGAUGUCUCGAUGAAUUGGAGAACAGAUGUAAUGGUAUAUGCUCUAUGCAAGGACAUGAGAACAAUCCUCCAAAUUGAACUACGUGAUGGGAGAGUAGUUAGGAAACUUUGUUUGUGUACGGGUUGCUUUUCCUCUAUAUAGCGGGCGCUGGAAAUUUCAGUUGCGAUGAUAGCAAGGAUCAAGGAAAAGAGAACAAGGGUGGGGCUUAAACUUCAGUACGAGCGCUUGCCGUGGUUCUGCUAUGCAUGUGGCUACAUCGGGCAUCAGGUCAUGUCUUGUGCGCGUAAGUUCAGGUGGUGAACCUGUAUGCUGACGACUGCGAUGCUUACCACUGAGGAAGUUCGUGCAGCAAGUAGGAAGCACCUUGGACAAAUUUUGGAAAGAGGGGCACGACUCGGAGGUAUGACCCCCAGCAAGGGCCAUCACAGCUGCGCUGACAAGCAAGUGUAAGUUGGUGAUGGUGCCACCGUGUCAGAGUUCGGAGACUACCCUUGGAAGCACAAAUUGGACAAAGUGCCUUGUGCCACUGGUGUUUCAACACCAGGGAUGUGAUUUUUCUCUAUAGUUUGUAGUACAUUAGACAAUUUUGUAUGCUAUUCAGUAAUUAAUGCUAAAGUUUAUUCCUACAGCUUGUACAUGAACAGGUCCCUGUUUACCGAUGGCGAAAACUCAUCCUUGAUCCAGCUUACUCCUGCAAAUGUUGACCAACAGACAAUUCUCUUCAUGCCUUAUUCAUAACAUCAAAUUUCUCAACCUGAUGGCAUCUAUCAAGGAUCUCUAAAGCCGAUGGAUUAAACUUGUGUUUUUCUCGUGUGUUCAGUAUACAUGGUUAUCUUCAUAGGCUAAUUUCACUUUUGAUAACUGAUGAUAAAGCGACAAUGGAAUCAGAAGGCCCAAAAAACUUCAUCAUUCAUUCUGCAAGCUGCCUAAAGAAAAAACAGCACCACUGAAACCAUCUCUGGUUCAUUAAUUGGUUCAGAUAAUCAAAUUAUUCAAUUGAAACAUGUGAGAAAUUAUUAUAAAAAGAAUCUGGAUGCAUCAUAUUAAAAGUGGAAUAGGGGCAGCGGCAUCGAUCCUUCGUAAUGACCAUCUGCUGGAAGGCGACGCGGUUGGCGAUAAUUUGCUUAGCUCUUUCGAUGACGCCACAUGGGCAUUCGUGAAUUCCGAGUAAGCCGCAACCCGGUUUGACAGGGUGAGGGAUGCGGGAGUGGUUGACAAUGAGGUGGCCCUGUCUAAGGGCACCCAGUAGAGUGAGAAAGGAACAUUGUUUCUGUAAAAAAAAUGAUAUUUAGACUUUCAGAGCACCCCCUGCACUACGUGAGAUUUAGAAGGUGGUAUGGCCGGCGGAUGCAUCCAUGUGCUAAUCAUCUGGCACCAAGCGGACGGAGCCGAACGAGUUGGGGCCACCAGCUGGCUGACAACGCACACAUGGGCGAGCAUGAGCAACAUGAAGCUAGGGAGUAAGCUGGGAGCGGAUGGACGGGGCGUGAGGUAGAAAAGGGGUGGGGAGCGGGCGGACCGUGGACAUAAGAGAACAACACCGGGUUUUUUAAUUACUUUAUGCACGAUCACAUAUUUAUCUCUUUAUUUAUGUGGCUUAUCAGGCUUGACGCACGAUCACAGAUUUAUCUCUUUAUUUAUGUGGGUGGGCAGAAACAUCCUUUCUAAAGUUUUCUUGGGGCUGUAUUGACGAACAACUUGUUCAGUGAUACCAACCCCUUUGAGCUCCCUCAACCCUUCGACAACACUUAUUCAGUUUCUCACCACAAGUAGUAAGAGACAUGAUCAGAUCACUAACCAGUGAUGAAGGCGUUAUGUGGUCGUUGACGUCAUGCUAAAUGUUGGUGUAGUGCCAAAUAAGAAGAUACAGAACAAAAUCCCUAAGCUAGACAUUAUGGUAUAAUGGAAAUUUGAGGAUGUAGGUGGAUGUGGGCGCUGUGGCCGCCACCAAGGAUGUAGGGGUCACGCCCCAAGCUGCAAGUACGUGGUAGGUGCAUCAAAACUGACGAGGACAUGGGAGCCACACUGCAGCAUGAGUGUUUUUCAUAAUUUAUUUAGGCCUAUGUACUGGAUGAUAUUUUCAUUGCUGGCAGUCUUCAUCAACCUAUCUACGAGGACAUUGAUAUACUAAUUGUUGCACAAGUGUUCUCAGCACCGGCUAACAAGAAGAGAGUAUGAUUGUUUAAUGCUCCCUGUUGUAAGCUUGUUUCACGAGGAGCUUCUCAGUGUUGUACAUGUAGGGUGUGGAUAAUAUAAAUAAAAUCUAUUUGUUCAUUCUUCUA
This is a long non-coding RNA of Triticum urartu, 3209 nucleotides long. RefSeq lists it as uncharacterized. The record is from RefSeq and is a predicted model, not a curated record. Lineage: Eukaryota; Viridiplantae; Streptophyta; Magnoliopsida; Poales; Poaceae.